CCAAUAGCGUAUAUUAAAGUUGUUGCAGUUAAAAAGCUCGUAGUUGAAUUUCGGGGUUAGUAGGUUGGUCAUGCCUCUGGUAUGUACUGGUCUCACUGAUUCCUCCUUCCUGAUGAACCUUAAUGCCAUUUAUUUGGUGUUUUGGGGAAUUUGGACUGUUACUUUGAAAAAAUUAGAGUGUUUAAAGCAAGCUAACGCUUGAAUACAUUAGCAUGGAAUAAUGAAAUAGGACGUUCGAUCCUAUUUUGUUGGUUUCUAGGAUUGACGUAAUGAUUAAUAGGGGUAGUUGGGGGCAUUAGUAUUCAAUUGUCAGAGGUGAAAUUCUUGGAUUUAUUGAAGACUAACUACUGCGAAAGCAUUUGCCAAGGAUGUUUUCAUUAAUCAAGAACGAAAGUUAGGGGAUCGAAGACGAUCAGAUACCGUCGUAGUCUUAACCAUAAACUAUGCCGACUAGGGAUCGGAUGAUGUUAAUUUUUUAAUGACUCAUUCGGCACCUUACG
Molecule: ribosomal RNA, 500 nt
Filed under: uncultured Glomus
Lineage: Eukaryota; Fungi; Glomeromycota; Glomeromycetes; Glomerales; Glomeraceae
Description: SSU rRNA
Rfam family: Eukaryotic small subunit ribosomal RNA
Source: RNAcentral